Molecule: non-coding RNA, 192 nt
Organism: Arachis ipaensis
Lineage: Eukaryota; Viridiplantae; Streptophyta; Magnoliopsida; Fabales; Fabaceae
Source: RefSeq, a predicted model, not a curated record
AGAAGAGAGAAAGCAGAUUAAUAAAUUCACUGGAUAUGUAUUUUCAAGAUUGAGAGCAUAUGCCGGCGGGGAACCUCUGCAGAAAGACGAGAAGGAGAAGGAAAUUAAAGCAUCAUAUGUUAAAAUAUCAGGCCAAAAAACAAGCUAUGACUGCGCUAUCUACGUUAUGAAGUGGCUUGAGUUAAUUGAGCC